UACGGAGGGGGCAAGCGUUAUUCGGAAUUAUUGGGCGUAAAGGGCGCGUAGGCGGCUAGAUGUGUCAAAGGUGAAAUCCCUCGGCUCAACUGAGGAACUGCCUUUGAAACUGUCUGGCUUGAGGCCGGGAGAGGGUAGCGGAAUUCCCAGUGUAGCGGUGAAAUGCGCAGAUAUCAGGAGGAACACCGAUGGCGAAGGCAGGUCUCUGGGCAUUAACUGACGCUGAGGAGCGAAAGCAUGGGGAGCGAACAGG
Molecule: ribosomal RNA, 253 nt
Filed under: uncultured bacterium
Lineage: Bacteria
Description: partial 16S ribosomal RNA
Rfam family: Bacterial small subunit ribosomal RNA
Source: RNAcentral